RNAcentral lists this long non-coding RNA (407 nucleotides) under Physcomitrium patens. RNAcentral describes it as "long non-coding RNA (PPAT_LNC013798)". Lineage: Eukaryota; Viridiplantae; Streptophyta; Bryopsida; Funariales; Funariaceae. The record is from RNAcentral.
GAUUAGGAUUUGGUUAGGAUUUGGUUUAGGAUUUGGUUUAGAGUUUUAUUUAGGGUUUAGGAUUUAUAGUUAGGAUUUAGGAUUCAGGGUUAGGAUUUAGGAUUUGAUUAAGAUUUUAUUUAGGAUUUAGGGUUGGGAUUAGGAUUUGAUUUAGGAUUUAGGAUUUGGUUGGAGUUUGGUUUAAGGUUUAUUUAGGGUUUGAUUUAGGAUUUAGGAUUUUAUUAGGAUUUAAGAUUUAAUUAAUUUUGGCCUAAAUUUUGAAUGAAGUUCAAUAGGAUUUUAAUUAGAAUUAAAUUAAGAUUGAAUUGAGAUAUAUUUGAGUGAUAUUUGUGAUCAUUUUAAUAUUUCUUUAAGAAUUCUUAUUGUUUGUUUGAAAUCUCUUUGAGAUUUUUUUGAAUUUGAUUAAG